RNAcentral lists this ribosomal RNA (316 nucleotides) under uncultured bacterium. Its description in RNAcentral is "bacterial SSU rRNA". It matches the Rfam family "Bacterial small subunit ribosomal RNA", at positions 115 to 447 of the family's 1533-position model. The record is from RNAcentral.
AUGUAGGUAUCUACCCUAUGGCCUGGAAUAACACGAGGAAACUUGUGCUAAUACCGGAUAAGUCUUUACGGAGAAAGCUUUAUGCACCAUUGGAUGAGCCUGCACUUGAUUAGUUUGUUGGUGGGGUAAUGGCCUACCAAGACUGUGAUCAAUAGCUGAUUUGAGAGGAUGAUCAGCCACAUUGGGACUGAGACACGGCCCAAACUCCUACGGGAGGCAGCAGUGGGGAAUCUUGCACAAUGGAGGAAACUCUGAUGCAGCGAUGCCGCGUGAGUGAAGAAGGCCUUUGGGUUGUAAAGCUCUUUCGUCGGGGAAG